AUUGAACGCUGGCGGCAUGCCUUACACAUGCAAGUCGAACGGCAGCACGGGAGCAAUCCUGGUGGCGAGUGGCGAACGGGUGAGUAAUAUAUCGGAACGUGCCCGGUCGUGGGGAUAACGUAGCGAAAGCUACGCUAAUACCGCAUACGAUCUACGGAUGAAAGCGGGGGAGUCGCAAGACCUCGCGCGAUUGGAGCGGCCGAUAUCAGAUUAGGUAGUUGGUGAGGUAAAGGCUCACCAAGCCGACGAUCUGUAGCUGGUCUGAGAGGACGACCAGCCACACUGGGACUGAGACACGGCCCAGACUCCUACGGGAGGCAGCAGUGGGGAAUUUUGGACAAUGGGCGCAAGCCUGAUCCAGCAAUA
This 366-nucleotide ribosomal RNA is filed under the name uncultured bacterium. RNAcentral's name for it is "bacterial SSU rRNA". It matches the Rfam family "Bacterial small subunit ribosomal RNA", at positions 30 to 396 of the family's 1533-position model. The record is from RNAcentral.